RNAcentral lists this ribosomal RNA (308 nucleotides) under uncultured bacterium. RNAcentral describes it as "partial 16S ribosomal RNA". It matches the Rfam family "Bacterial small subunit ribosomal RNA", at positions 505 to 809 of the family's 1533-position model. The record is from RNAcentral.
GAGACAGCAGUCGCCACGGGAAUACAGAGGGUGCGAGCGUUAAUCGGAUUUACUGGGCGUAAAGCGUGCGUAGGCGGCUUUUUAAGUCGGAUGUGAAAUCCCUGAGCUUAACUUAGGAAUUGCAUUCGAUACUGGGAAGCUAGAGUAUGGGAGAGGAUGGUAGAAUUCCAGGUGUAGCGGUGAAAUGCGUAGAGAUCUGGAGGAAUACCGAUGGCGAAGGCAGCCAUCUGGCCUAAUACUGACGCUGAGGUACGAAAGCAUGGGGAGCAAACAGGAUUAGAUACCCCCGUAGUCCCUGUCUCUUAUAA